AGUCGCAAGACCGCGAGGUUUAGCAAAUCUCUUAAAGCCGUUCUCAGUUCGGAUUGUAGGCUGCAACUCGCCUACAUGAAGUCGGAAUCGCUAGUAAUCGCGGAUCAGCAUGCCGCGGUGAAUACGUUCCCGGGCCUUGUACACACCGCCCGUCACACCAUGAGAGUUUGUAACACCCAAAGCCGGUGGGGUAACCUUUUGGAGCCAGCCGUCUAAGGUGGGACAGAUGAUUGGGGUGAAGUCGUAACAAGGUAUC
Molecule: ribosomal RNA, 256 nt
Filed under: uncultured bacterium
Lineage: Bacteria
Description: partial 16S ribosomal RNA
Rfam family: Bacterial small subunit ribosomal RNA
Source: RNAcentral